UACGUAGGGACCAAGCGUUGUCCGGAUUUAUUGGGCGUAAAGAGCUCGUAGGCGGCACGGUAAGUCGGGAGUUAAAACACUGGGCUUAACCCAGUGUCGCUUCUGAUACUGCCGAGCUUGAGUGUGGCAGGGGAGAACGGAAUUCCACGUGUAGCGGUGAAAUGCGCAGAUAUGUGGAAGAACACCAGUGGCGAAGGCGGUUCUCUGGGCCAUAACUGACGCUGAGGAGCGAAAGCGUGGGGAGCGAACAGG
RNAcentral lists this ribosomal RNA (252 nucleotides) under uncultured bacterium. Its description in RNAcentral is "partial 16S ribosomal RNA". It matches the Rfam family "Bacterial small subunit ribosomal RNA", at positions 524 to 776 of the family's 1533-position model. The record is from RNAcentral.